This 253-nucleotide ribosomal RNA is filed under the name uncultured bacterium. RNAcentral describes it as "partial 16S ribosomal RNA". It matches the Rfam family "Bacterial small subunit ribosomal RNA", at positions 524 to 776 of the family's 1533-position model. The record is from RNAcentral.
UACGAAGGGGGCUAGCGUUGCUCGGAAUUACUGGGCGUAAAGGGCGCGUAGGCGGCGGCAUCAGUCAGGCGUGAAAGCCCCGGGCUCAACCUGGGAACUGCGCUUGAGACGGUGUUGCUUGAGGACGGGAGAGGGUGGUGGAAUUCCCAGUGUAGAGGUGAAAUUCGUAGAUAUUGGGAAGAACACCGGUGGCGAAGGCGGCCACCUGGCCCGCUACUGACGCUGAGGCGCGAAAGCGUGGGGAGCAAACAGG